CUAACUUUUGUUUUCUAGGUGAACCUGCGGAAGGAUCAUU
RNAcentral lists this ribosomal RNA (40 nucleotides) under Aculeata aquatica. RNAcentral's name for it is "partial 18S ribosomal RNA". The record is from RNAcentral. Lineage: Eukaryota; Fungi; Ascomycota; Eurotiomycetes; Chaetothyriales; Herpotrichiellaceae.